RNAcentral lists this ribosomal RNA (497 nucleotides) under uncultured bacterium. RNAcentral's name for it is "partial 16S ribosomal RNA". It matches the Rfam family "Bacterial small subunit ribosomal RNA", at positions 28 to 507 of the family's 1533-position model. The record is from RNAcentral.
GACGAACGCUGGCGGCGUGCCUAAUACAUGCAAGUUGAGCGCUGAAGGUUGGUACUUGUACCAACUGGAUGAGCAGCGAACGGGUGAGUAACGCGUGGGGAAUCUGCCUUUGAGCGGGGGACAACAUUUGGAAACGAAUGCUAAUACCGCAUAAAAACUUUAAACACAAGUUUUAAGUUUGAAAGAUGCAAUUGCAUCACUCAAAGAUGAUCCCGCGUUGUAUUAGCUAGUUGGUGAGGUAAAGGCUCACCAAGGCGAUGAUACAUAGCCGACCUGAGAGGGUGAUCGGCCACACUGGGACUGUGACACGGCCCAAACUCCUACGGGAGGCAGCAGUAGGGAAACUUCGGCAAGGGACGAAAGUCUGACCGAGCAACGCCGCGGGAGUGAAGAAGGUUUUCGGAUCGUAAAACUCUGUUGGUAGAGAAGAACGUUGGUGAGAGUGGAAAGCUCAUCAAGUGACGGUAACUACCCAGAAAGGGACGGCUAACUACGUG